UGGUCCUUGAUGUGCAGGAUAGGUGGGAGGCUUUGAAGCGCGGACGCCAGUUCGUGUGGAGCCAUCCUUGAAAUACCACCCUUUAAUGGCUGGUGUUCUAACGUAGACCCGUGAUCCGGGUUGCGGACAGUGUCUGGUGGGUAGUUUGACUGGGGCGGUCUCCUCCUAAAGAGUAACGGAGGAGCACGAAGGUUAGCUAAUCCUGGUCGGACAUCAGGAGGUUAGUGCAAAGGCAUAAGCUAGCUUGACUGCGAGCGUGACGGCGCGAGCAGGUGCGAAAGCAGGUC
RNAcentral lists this ribosomal RNA (287 nucleotides) under Salmonella enterica. RNAcentral's name for it is "partial 23S ribosomal RNA". It matches the Rfam family "Bacterial large subunit ribosomal RNA", at positions 2125 to 2411 of the family's 2925-position model. Lineage: Bacteria; Pseudomonadati; Pseudomonadota; Gammaproteobacteria; Enterobacterales; Enterobacteriaceae. RNAcentral also lists the same sequence under 1 other name. The record is from RNAcentral.